Molecule: unclassified non-coding RNA, 150 nt
Organism: Chelonoidis abingdonii (Abingdon island giant tortoise)
Lineage: Eukaryota; Metazoa; Chordata; Testudines; Testudinidae
Source: Ensembl
GGAUAACUUGCUACUUAUUAACAAGUACACCAUGGGUAUUAGCAGUGCAAGCUUCCCUAUAUUGUCCUAUCAAUGUGCCUCAAAGCUUGAGUUGGUGGGACUGCCUUGAAGAAUAAAAAAGGAAUUCAUGCCUGAUCAACCUUGACUUCU